Molecule: long non-coding RNA, 1591 nt
Organism: Brassica rapa (field mustard)
Lineage: Eukaryota; Viridiplantae; Streptophyta; Magnoliopsida; Brassicales; Brassicaceae
Source: RefSeq, a predicted model, not a curated record
UUUUUAUAAAAACCCACAUUUAUCCACUUUAGUUCCUCACAAACUUUAUGCAAAAGAAGAAGAAGAGUUAGAGAGAGAGUGAGCUAAGAGAAGAGGUGUGAUCUUUUACAGUGAGUGGGUCGCCGGAGCUCGUCGCCGGAGCAACCGUGUGCCGUGAUCACGUUCAGCUCGACACCACCGUUCGCAACCCUAGACCACCAUCGUGUUCCUCUCGUCUAGACGAAGCCGUAGACACCAACCACGCCGCAAUCGGAGCCCGGACGAAACCGCUAGAGCCUCCCGAAGUUUAGUUUCUGCGCGGGCGUGAAACGCACGCGCCGUUGCCGUCCGCCGGAGCCACCGCGCAUUCCGGCCACUCGCUGCCGUCUCCGACCAACGUUCGCCGGAGCCGCCGUGACCGGCCACCGUCCGUUUGCCGCCGAGAAGCUGCCGCCGCGUCGCCGCCUCGCCGCCGUUGAUUUUCCGAUUUGGAAUCUAUUUGAGCAGCUGGAGUUCAUAGAUACCACGUCUUCUUGUUGCUAAGGUGAGGGCUUCUCCGUUUAAAUCCCGAACUAGUUUAGUACUACCAUUAUGGAAAGUUUAGUUUCGAAACAUGAUCCGUCUCUGUGAAUCGAGUCUGUUUGAGAGUCUUGCUUGUUCAUUAUUGAUAUUGAUUGUUAAACCGGAAAUAGGAUAAUAGAGGAUUCAACGGUUGAUUGAAAUGAUUGAUGUUAAGAACUGUUAAAUAUUUAUAUAUAUAUAUAUAUAUAUAUAUAUUUAUAUAUGCUAGUCCAUGUGUUGAGAUUGCGGGGUGCAGAGGUGAUUGCACUAGGCCGCAUGUUUGAGAGAUCGCGGGGUACGGAGAUAUUUGUACUAGGCCGUGUGUUUAGCGGGGUACAGAGACGUUUGUACUAGGCCGUUUUGUUUGAGAGAUCGCAGGGUACGGAGAUAUCUGUACUAGGCCGUGUGUUUAGCGGGGUACAGAGACGUUUGUACAAGGCCGCUUUGUUUGUGGAGAUUGCGGGGGUACAGAGUGGACUACUGUACUUACGACGCUUGUAGAGUUAUAUAUAAUUAUAUCCUUAUAAGGAAAUGCGGUAUGCUAUUAUCGCAUUGGUUAGCAUGUCUAGUCCACUAGACAUAUGUUGAUUGUUUUGUGUGGUGUAAUAGACGCCGUGUUUGUUUCAUGCUAGAGCUAGGCCUACAUUUUAGUAGUGCUAUGAACUCAGUCAGUGGUUUGCGGUUUAGCAUCCCCAUACCUCACUGGGCGAUUCCCCUGUCGCUCACCCCUCCUUCUUUCCCCUUUCAGGUGAGACCGAUGAGCAGGAGUGAUUAUACCGGACCAGUGCUUUUGGGCUUUUACUACUAUCGAGCUUUGGACUUCUAUCACUUUUAUCGUUUUAUCGCUUUUGGGCCUUUGGGCUCCUAUCUAUCGUUUAUGUUAUCUCGUAUUUUGGACUUUUGGUUUAUGUCGUACUUUAUAUUUCGAAUGUUAUCGUUGUUGGGCCUUUAGGCCUUGUGAUAUUGUAUUGACUUUUAUAUUUAUAAAUGGAGAUUUCAUAAACUAUUAUUUAUCGAAUUGUUUUUAUUAUUUCGAAAGUGACGGGUGUCA